Molecule: long non-coding RNA, 1316 nt
Organism: Apteryx haastii (Great spotted kiwi)
Lineage: Eukaryota; Metazoa; Chordata; Aves; Apterygiformes; Apterygidae
Source: Ensembl
UGGGCCUGGGCCUGGGCGAGCCGGCGCGGCCCGGCGGCGGCGCGGGGGAAGGAGGAAGGAAGGAGAAGUGCCGGGCGGGGGCGAGCGCGGGCCGGCGGCGGCGCCCCGGGCCCUGCCUUUGUUCGCCUCCAUUCGUGGCGCAGCCAGGGCGGCCGCUGAGGCGGGGGGGGCCGGGACGUGCCAGGCCCCGCCGGGCCCCGCCAGAGCCCCUCGCGCUCCCCGAGGGCCGCCCGCCGCCAUCAACUCCCCCUUCUCCCGUGUGCUCCCCGGCUUUCCAGCCCGCCGGGGCACAGCGGGGCAGCCCGGGCUGUGCGGGCAGCACCUCACGCGGCUCCACUGCUGCAGGGACGAGCAGAGCUGUAACGUAAACACGGAGUCAGAGCGUAGCGUAACUGAAGUUGCUCCUGCCAGGUAGCUUUUUGGUGGAAAACCAGACUCUUCGAUGUAGAUGCAGAAGUGCUGGGCACCGGCAGCGCUGCGCGGCAGGAAAGGAGGGCCAGGAGGCAGCGCCGGGCCACAGCGCGAGGCGGAAGGGCUUUGGUAGGGAGAUGUGACAGAGUCUGGCCCUCCCGUCAGUCCUCACCCUCCUCUCUAACUACACCGCUGCAAAAGCGGCCGGGGUGAUCUGCAGGCUGCUGCAAGGGACUUGCUGUAGCUUAAGCCAGCUUUGUGUCUCCCCGCUGCAAAGCUCUCCCACAUCACAGCACCCGCUCUGCUUCUGUUUUCACACCUGUCUCUGUGCUGAAACGCUCCGGUUCCUUCCCAAUUAGCUGUGGAUAAAUCGUACAUCCCAGGUGUGGCAGAGUCCUGAAGGGCUGUUAGCACUGAAAUGGUUGAAUCCAACAAGUGUGGCUUUUCCAGAAGGUCUAAGCUGGCUGUUGCCCCGUCCCUUCCCUAGUAAGUAUCCCCUAAUGCUGUGUGUCUGUUCCUAUUCACAGGAGCACACGUCUGCUGUACGGCAUUCCUGUUGGGACCAGGCCGUGUCCACUUUCUCCUACCUGAAUCAUCAUGGAAAUGCACCUCCUCUCCAUGUGAAAACAAAACACAAGGAGCAGAACAGAAGAUACUUGUGUUCCCUGACAAAAAAGGAAACACAGAAACAAAACAUGUUCCCUGCAGCAAGUGACAAUGGCAGCAACAACCCAAGGGACUCUCUUAAAAUCUGUCAAGCAGGCUUUAGCUCUUCCACUGAGUGCUGCAACACAGGCUUCCUGUUCUACGAAAUUAAAAUCUUAACAGCCAUCUCCUUGUUUAUGGUAUCAUUUUUUCAUCUCUUCUCACAAGUACAUGAGAAGGGGGAAUCCCCAGGAACCUGA